RNAcentral lists this ribosomal RNA (352 nucleotides) under uncultured Acholeplasma sp. Its description in RNAcentral is "bacterial SSU rRNA". It matches the Rfam family "Bacterial small subunit ribosomal RNA", at positions 1028 to 1382 of the family's 1533-position model. Lineage: Bacteria; Bacillati; Mycoplasmatota; Mollicutes; Acholeplasmatales; Acholeplasmataceae. The record is from RNAcentral.
UCUGACACAGGUGCUGCAUGGCUGUCGUCAGCUCGUGCUGUGAAGUGUGGGUUAAGUCCCGCAACGAGCGCAACCCUGCUGUCUGUUGCCACCACGAGAGGUGGGGACUCAGGCGGAACUGCCGGUGACAAACUGGAGGAAGGUGGGGAUGACGUCAAAUCAUCAUGCCCCUUAUGACCUGGGCUACAAACGUGAUACAAUGGCUGGAACAAAGGGAUGCGAAGCAGUGAUGUGGAGCGAAACCCAUAAAAACAGUCUCAGUUCGGAUUGAAGUCUGCAACUCGACUUCAUGAAGUCGGAAUCGCUAGUAAUCGCGGAUCAGAACGCCGCGGUGAAUACGUUCUCGGGGUUU